GAUCGCCUCUGCAUUGAUUAUCGUGAACUUAACAACAACACGGUUGCUGACAGGUUUCCUUUGCAUAGCUAGGUUAGCUGGGGCAAAAUACUUUACGUGUUUGGAUAUGGCUAGUGGUUACCAUCAGAUUCCUAUACAUCCUGAUUCUAUCGAAUGUACAGCGUUUGUAACACCAGUCGGACAAAUGUGGGUUUCUUAAGACUACGGUCCAAUAUCUGGGUUAUGAGGUGCGAGCUGGAGAAAUAAGACCCAAUUCCCGGAAAAUACUUGCGUUGAAGUCCUUGCCACCGCCGCAAGCAUUAACAAGCAUCAUGAAACCAAUAUAUUCACUAACUUCGAGCAAAAACACGCUUAACUGGACUGAUGAUUUGGAGGAGAUUAGGAAGAAUGUUAUCAGUACUUGUUAUUUUUGAACCACAACAUCCGAUAGAAUUACAUACUGAUGCGAGCUCUUGUGGAUAUGGGGCAAUGCUAAUUCAUCGGAUCAAGGGGGAGUUUUAAAGUAAAUCCACCUGCCCGCUGAGUCUAAAUACCAUUCGUAUGAAUUGUAAAAAUUGGCUGUUGUUAAAUCAGUUAAACAUUUUCGGCAUUAUUUGCUCGGA
This is a long non-coding RNA of Drosophila yakuba, 602 nucleotides long. RefSeq lists it as uncharacterized. The record is from RefSeq and is a predicted model, not a curated record. The transcript has 2 exons. Lineage: Eukaryota; Metazoa; Arthropoda; Insecta; Diptera; Drosophilidae.